This 74-nucleotide transfer RNA is filed under the name Marisa cornuarietis. RNAcentral's name for it is "tRNA-Arg". Lineage: Eukaryota; Metazoa; Mollusca; Gastropoda; Architaenioglossa; Ampullariidae. The record is from RNAcentral.
UAUAAAAUAUAAAAAGCGAGAAAUUUGCAUACGGUUUCGGCCCGUAGUUUUUAGGUGAAAGUCCUUUUUUAUAC